Molecule: ribosomal RNA, 577 nt
Filed under: uncultured bacterium
Lineage: Bacteria
Description: bacterial SSU rRNA
Rfam family: Bacterial small subunit ribosomal RNA
Source: RNAcentral
CCUACGGGAGGCAGCAGUAAGGAAUAUUGGUCAAUGGAGGCAACUCUGAACCAGCCAUGCCGCGUGCAGGAAGACAGCCCUCUGGGUCGUAAACUGCUUUUAUUCGGGAAUAAACCUCAUUAUGUAUAGUGAGCUGAAUGUACCGAAGGAAUAAGGAUCGGCUAACUCCGUGCCAGCAGCCGCGGUAAUACGGAGGAUCCAAGCGUUAUCCGGAUUUAUUGGGUUUAAAGGGUGCGUAGGCGGCUUUUUAAGUCAGGGGUGAAAGACGGUAGCUCAACUAUCGCAGUGCCCUUGAUACUGAAGAGCUUGAAUGGACUAGAGGUAGGCGGAAUGUGACAAGUAGCGGUGAAAUGCAUAGAUAUGUCACAGAACACCGAUUGCGAAGGCAGCUUACUAUGGUUUUAUUGUACGCUGAGGCACGAAAGCGUGGGGAUCAAACAGGAUUAGAUACCCUGGUAGUCCACGCCCUAAACGAUGAAUACUCGCUGUUAGCGAUACACAGUUAGCGGCUAAGCGAAAGCGUUAAGUAUUCCACCUGGGAAGUACGGUCGCAAGAUUGAAACUCAAGGAUUGACGG